RNAcentral lists this ribosomal RNA (450 nucleotides) under uncultured bacterium. RNAcentral describes it as "bacterial SSU rRNA". It matches the Rfam family "Bacterial small subunit ribosomal RNA", at positions 328 to 795 of the family's 1533-position model. The record is from RNAcentral.
GAGCCAGACUCCUACGGGAGGCAGCAGUGGGGAAUAUUGCACAGUGGGGGGAACCCUGAUGCAGCGACGCCGCGUGAGUGAAGAAGUAUUUCGGUAUGUAAAGCUCUAUCAGCAGGGAAGAAAAUGACGGUACCUGACUAAGAAGCCCCGGCUAACUACGUGCCAGCAGCCGCGGUAAUACGUAGGGGGCAAGCGUUAUCCGGAUUUACUGGGUGUGAAGGGAGCGUAGACGGCAGAGCAAGUCUGAAGUGAAAGCCCGCGGCCCAACUGCGGGACUGCUUUGGAAACUGCCCGGCUAGAGUGCUGGAGAGGUAAGCGGAAUUCCUAGUGUAGCGGUGAAAUGCUUAGAUAUUAGGAGGAACACCAGUGGCGAAGGCGGCUUUCUGGACUGUAACUGACACUGAGGUACGAAAGCGUGGGGAGCAAACAGGAUUAGAUACCCCGGUAUAC